This 253-nucleotide ribosomal RNA is filed under the name uncultured bacterium. Its description in RNAcentral is "partial 16S ribosomal RNA". It matches the Rfam family "Bacterial small subunit ribosomal RNA", at positions 524 to 776 of the family's 1533-position model. The record is from RNAcentral.
UACGAAGGGGGCUAGCGUUGCUCGGAAUCACUGGGCGUAAAGGGCGCGUAGGUGGCCAACUAAGUCAGAUGUGAAAGCCCCGGGCUUAACCUGGGAACUGCGUUUGAAACUGGGAGACUCGAGUGUGGCAGAGGGGGGUGGAAUUCCACGUGUAGCAGUGAAAUGCGUAGAUAUGUGGAGGAACACCGAUGGCGAAGGCAGCCCCCUGGGUCAACACUGACGCUCAUGCACGAAAGCGUGGGGAGCAAACAGG